AUUACCCCAAAACCUUAAUCAUUUCUCACCCUACCCUGCCACCCUCAUUUUCUUUUUCUCUCUAUUUUCUCUCAUCCUUUCAAACCCAUCAGUCAUGGAAACCUUGCACGAACCAGUGCAAGGUCACAAGACCUUCCCCAAAUCGUCCUUCCCUGUUUCUCCAUCAUCAAAUCCCGUUGAUUUUCCACUUUUUCCUCUUCAAAUAUGAGGGAUUAGACAUGGCCAAUAAAGUUGAAACACUAUUUCUUUUCGUUCUUUCAGAUAAAACUUACAGAAUUGCCUCAUUUGUUCCUAGGAGAUUAAAUCGGUGAUUUUAGUUUUCAUUUUCGUUGAUUAAAUUCAAAACCCCCAAUUUGAAACCUUAUACCUAAAUGAUAAUACUUCGUUCUAAUGAUGGUUAUUCUAGACCAGAGGUCAAAUUCAAUGACCUCUCAACCUCUGACCUUUACCCGAUGGUUUUCAUGACUUCUAAUUUCUGUCGUACACUCAAGUAAAAGCUUCACUCAUUUUUGCUUUGUCUCUUAGAUUUUCUCUUGAUUUUUCCAUCAUCAUCAAUCUUUCGUCACUUUCCACUCACAAUUUGAAUACGGUUAAAAUCCUAGAGCCUUAAUGGCACUAUAAAAAGGGUCUUUAAUGUUCUCAUCUAGCACCACCUAACACUGAGAAAACAACAUCUACCAUUAUCUACUACAACAUAGAAUCACCAACUAAAACAAUUGUCUAAGAGCAAUUCUAACAUUAAAUAACCUAGGGUUUCUGACUCUUUUACUUUUCUUUUGUUUUUAACGCUUUCGCUGCUUCAAGCUUGAAAUCUUGGGCCAUAAAAAAUUAAGAAGGAUUCUAGUUUGGUCUGCUUCCCUCAAGAAGAUCAGUACAUUCCUAACUUUUCUCUUUAAUCAUCUUAUAUAAACAUUUUGAACAUGCUAGUUCUUUUCUAUGAAUUGUAGUUGUUUAUGAUGUUUAUAACUAGUGUGGAGAUGUUUUUUUUAAGAUAAUAUGUUUUAUGCUUAUGAUCACUUGUCCUACCUCUUGAGUCUUGAAUUAAUGUUUGAUCUAUUUAUUUGGUGACUCCUCAUGACUUCCUUUUCUAAGUUCAAAUAGUCAACACGUUUAAGUUGUAACGUGUUUUGAAUAACUGCUCUUACUUGCCUAAACUUUAUAGUCAUUCAUUGAUGAUCCUGUUGUGAUAUUUACCUUUACAUAUUAUUUCUCAGUAUUCUGUUUGUCUUGUGGUCUAGUUUAUCAUUCGAUAAUACUAAUUAGGAUGAACCUGAAAGUUCAUAAGGACAUAUCAUUUAACUAAGGCAUGAAAAUCUAAGUGUUUAUAAACUUUCCUUCUCUACAUCUAUAUCUUCUAACUCUGAGGGAAACUUCUGGACUAUUACUAUGACAUUCUCAUGUUCAUAUCUAGUUGUAAAUUGUAUCUAUAUAAGAUAAUAUUGUUAAGUUGAACUUUCAUGGAUGCCAAUAGAUGUACUAUACACGUAUUUUGUUAAGAUUAAGUUGUCAUCUUUUUAUGCAGCGAAAUUAGAUGACUUGAUUUCUCACUGUCAAGUCACUUCGAUAGAACGCCACGAGCCCCCGAGGACGAGAACCCAUGACCGAGUUCCCGAACUUGGGGCUCGUCAAGGCCCAACUCAUUGAAGAUGGAGAUCAAAGCCAGGACAGAGAAGUAAGCUCCCAAGGCACACGGCUAAGUCUGAUUGGGUUGACAUAUCCAGAUCCUAUGCUGAGGCGUCACGUCAAGCCGUCCCAUCUCAAUGCUUUAUUAUUAAUGCUCAUGUACUAGUAGACGAAUUCCCCUCAUAUAUAAAAAGAUCUCGCACUACCUUGUAGAGGAAUUACGUUUCUCCAUUUCUUCACAAGUGCAAUAAUAUCUAUCUCUCUCUCUCUUAUUUCUAAACUCUCUCGUCCUCACUGGCCGGAGGCCACUUCAAUAUUUAUAGCUUUCUUACUCGUUCUUCAUUAUAUUUCUCGGUAUCGGCCAUAAAGAUCCUUGUUUAAUCAUAUCCUUAGUUGUUAUCCCAUCCCCGACUAUCCCCGAUAGCUUGAGCUCGGUCAUGACAUCAACCCCAGGGUCCCCCAUCGACCAGUCCUACAUACGGGCAACAUGUUUCUCAGUUUGACUACUACCUCGUUUUAACUUGCAUUUCAUCAUUAACUCCAUAUUCUUACCAUCAUCUGCUCUAACAACUAGAAUGGUAAUAGAUCAUGUAUUUUUAGAAUCCCAUUCAUAAAUUUAAUUGUCAUACCAUUUUCACGGUAAAUAGUUUAGCACCCAUCUUGGGCUUAAAAAUAAUAAUGAUUAUUUUCUUAUUGGUUCCACUGCACAAGCGCAUGUUAUCAUUCACACUAUUUCUUAUCAAAGAUCCUUUUAUUUCAGGUCAACAUUGUUGGCCCGGUAAACAGAAUCCAGAACAUUACCCCAAAAAUCACGGCAAAAAUGGUGUGGUUGUUCCAGUGGUUGGCGCGAUGCCGCAGUACCCUGAUAACGCAUCUGUGCUAAUUCGAGCAGAUGCGGGUUCAGAAGGCGUGCAGCAGGUCGAUGAUGCCUCACACACCGUUGGGAGCGUAAAACACGUUGAUCGACAGGAUGCCCAAUGGAAGAGAUUGCCCCCGAUUUUGGGCGACUGGGAAUCACAAGCUUUCUCCCGAAGCUGAAACGAAGCAUGCCCAACGACUCCAGGACAUUUCAAAUGAAGCUCGAUCAGUUAGCCAAUCGAGAUCUGGUCGGGUUCCCGUACCUGGAACCAACCACAAAAUCAGAUUUGUGGAUGACCAUCCGGGAGCCUCCUUGGGCUCGUUAUACCCAGUCAGGCUCUCGUCAAGGAUUCUAGUGCCAAAAAGAUGUAGGUACAAUCCAUGCACCAUGGAUAGGAUGAAUACCACUAGGUGCAACCUACCUCGCAAUGAUCAUGUAAUAGCUAGAGGGAAACACUCUCAGGGAGCCUUCAGCGGAGCUAGGUUCAACGAGGCAUGGCUGGCAGGGGCACCCCGCCCAGUGGAGUAGGAUUUUAGCAUUACCAUACCAAACAUAAUGAUCACCAUAACCAAAACUAGGGACGUCGAUCGACUCAGGCCUAUUCGGCCAGGACCCCUUCAAAAGAACGCAACCUGGCACAGGGAUUGCAGGGCGUGCACGGCCACAGGGUCAAAAAUGUCCACCAGCUGAGGAUGACGAAAGCCGGGCUACUCAAUAAAAUUACCAUCGGGUGUCAUCGAGUGGUCAGGCUCGAAACUUCCUCCAAGGGAGGAAGGCAAUCAGGAAGAAUGAAACGAACAAGCCGUGACGUAUUACAACGAUAAUGAAGGAGCAGUGACACCCUCCGAGGACUCAUAAAAUGUAAAGUAAUAAUGUUUGUUGCUAGGGAAAAAUGGGUCCCGGGAACUAUCACAAAAGGCACCCUUACAUACAGAGAAAAGGAUACCGAUACUUCGCCUCGGCCUCAUACUGAUGCAUUGGUAACCCUCACCGUCAUUUGAUCUAUUUCAAGUAAAAAAUGCAUUUAUGAAUUUAUGUGGUUUGAUCAAGCAUGUAAACGGUAUCGAACCAAAGUUAGUGGGGCAAUUCGGACUAACAAACCAAAUCGCUUCCGCAUCUCGAAUCUUUGACAAACUCUAAAAGCAUCGAUCACUACAAAGACCAUUCUCUCGAUAUAGGCCAUCCAAAAUCGAGCUGGAAUGCUGAGCUCCGUACCAUCAAAGAAGGCUUAUGGCACGAACGUCUUAUUUAGACAGCUACCAUCUCACCACCCGUAGACAGCGUCGACCCUAUUUAGCCAAGAGAAUGAUAUCCCACACAAAGGGCAGAACUAAAAUAAGUCAACAAGGAGCAAUACAUGACGAGAGGAAAUUCUUCACCGUAUGGCGCGUCGCCGGCAUCAAUGCCACACCCUCAGAAGGAUCAAAAGGGUAAGCAAACCAUAUUUUCGGCCAAGUCUGAUAAGACACAAUAUUGGGCUAUAUCAGGACGCACGCCUCGAAAGAGUAGGAAUAUACCAAAUCUCAAAACAUUGCCUACGCAUCCCAAGGUGAGGAAGAACUGCUUCACUCCCUUGUUAUUGUUUCACUAACCUGUAUGCAGACAACUAGCAAGGACAUUCAGAAGUUCUAACUCUACCCGGAGAUCCCUAGUCAUUAAAAGGGCCCAUCGCACUCUUUCCCCUCAAUAGGACUUCCGCCCAAAAGAGGGCCUCACAAGCAAGAUUAUAAGCCGAGCAACGUACCCCCAAAGGAUUUCGACAAGAUCACGGGCUUUCUUUUGCAGUUAACUACGAGUGAUGAUCUUAUUAUUAAGGGCACCGUCCCCUCAGAAUGACCGAGAAAUGUCAGGCUGCGUUUCAAUACUGAAUCAUGUACGUGAUCGAAUAGUCUGAAGAGCCACGCCCGCGCGGGCCAAGAUCAUGGCAAUGAGACAAUAUAUGUUUAUUCCAAGAAAUAAAAGGAAAUUUUUUAGCAUCUUAUUCCCCUAACAAAGAAACCGCAGUGUACCCCGGCAGGAACCUCUCCGCCUAAUGCGUCCCGAGACACUAGAAGACUUAGCAUCAACAAAUCAGCACCUGCAUGACCCCAGGAUCGGAACUCCGGGAAUAUAUAGCCUCAACAAGGUAGCUCCACGCCCACAAACAACAGCCUUCGAGCCCAAGAAAACUCAAUAACUCAGAGACUGUCGCCAAUCACCAUGAACUAAAUAAACCGAAACUGUAAGACCCCUAACGGGCAGACUCGGACUACCCAUCCGUCUGAGGAUAAUAUAUUGUACUCGGCUCAAUCUAAGUGCACAACCCUUGUUGAACUGCUCUUCAGAAACGCAAGAUAAACUGCAUAUCUCAGUCUGAAAUGAUAGAUAAGGGCACACCAUAGACACGAACACUCCCAAAUAUAGAUCUCAGCAAACCUCUUGGAUAAAUAGGAGACUGCCACAGGAAUGUAAUGUGCUGAAUUGGUCGGCCUAUCAACAAUUACCCAUACUGCGUCAAAUUUCCUCCGACUUUGCUGGAGGCUAACAACGAAGUCCAUAGUGAUCCUCUCCCAUUUCCACUCGUGAAGCUCAAUCCUCUGAAACAAUCCAACAGGCCUCUAAUGCUCAUAAUUAACCUGCUGACAAUUCAAACACUAAGCCACAUGUGCAAUCAUAUCCUUCUUCAUUCUAUGCCACAAAUAGUGAUGUUGUAAAUCUUGAUAAAACUUUGCGGCGCCCGGAUAAAUAAAGUACCAAGAUCUAUAGGCCUCCUCUAAAUCAACUCUCUAAGCCCAUCCACAUUAGGCACACAAAAUCGCCCCUACAAUCUCAAAACUCCAUCAUCAUCUUAGGUAACCUUCUUGGCACCUCAAUGUGGCACCGUGUCUCUAAGGACAUACAAAUGGGGAUUAUCAAAUUGCCAAUCACGGAUAUGCUCCAAUAAAGAAGAACAAGCGACCAUGCAGGCUAAUACUCGGCUAGGCUCAGAGACAUCCAACCUCAAAAACUUAAUGUCCAAAGCCUAACAUCCAAAUCAAGCAGCGUCUCACCGACCAGAAUAUAAGCAAGACUACACAUACUGGUUGACUUCCUAGUCAAAGCAUCUGCCACCACAUUGGCCUUUCCCGUGUGAUAUAUAAUGGUGAUAUCAUAAUCUUUCAACAACUCUAACCACCUUCUCUGCCUUGAAUUCAACUCCAUUUGCUUCAACAAAUACUGAAGACUCUUGUGAUCCAUGAAGACCUCACAUGGCACGCUGUACAGAUAAUGCCUUCAAAUCUUCAAUGCGUGAACUAUGGAUGCCAACUCCAAAUCAUGGACCGGGUAGUUCUUCUCAUGAAUAUUCAAUUGUCGCGAAGCAUAGGAAAUAACCUUGCCAUCCUGCAUCAAUACUGUGCCAAGCCCAAUGCGAGAAGCAUCACAAUAAACUGUAUAAGGCUUUGAACUUGUGAGAAAAACCAACACUGGUGCCGUAGUUAGAGUUGUAUUGAGCUUCUACAAGCUCGACUCACACUCAUCGACCUUCUGAUAUGGGCACCCUUUUGGGUCAACCUGGUCAUCGAGGCUGCAAUAGAUGAAAACCCCUCCACGAACUACGAUUGAAGCCUGCCAAUCCGAAGAAACUCCAAAUCUCUAUAGAUGAUGCUCGUCUUGGAAAGUUCUUGACUUCCUCAAUUUUCUUUGGAUCAACCUAAAUACCCUCUGUUGAUACAUUAUGACCUAUGGAUGCAACUGAACUUGGCCAGAACUCACACUUCGAGAUGCUGCUCCUGCUUCUCCUGGAUAUAGAAGUAUAUCAAAAUAAAAAACAUCAAUGAAGACCAUCACAAAUGAUUCCAAAUAAAGCUUGAACACUCGGUUCAUUAAGUCCAUAAAAGUUGCUGGGUCAUUUGUCAACCCAAAUGACAUAACCAAGAACUCAUUAUUCCGGUACCGAGUGGAGAAAUCUUCCUUAGUGACAUCAGAUUCCCUAAACCUCAUUUGAUGGUAGCCAGAUCUUAUACCAAUCUUUGAAAAUACCUUGGCACCAUGAAGCUGAUCGAACAAAUCAUCAAUCCGUGGCAGUAAAUACUUAUUCUUGAUUGAAACCUUGUUCAACUGCCGGUAAUCUAUGCACAUUCUCAUUAAACCAUGCUUUUUCUUAACGAACAACACCGGGAACCCCAAGGAAAAAUGCUGGGUCUAAUGAAACCCUUUUCAAACAAGUCUUUCAACUGCUCCUUCAACUCUUUCACUUCUAGCGGGGCAAUACGAUAUGGUGGGAUAGAAAUGGCUGAGUGCCUGGAGCCAAAUCAAUACAGAAGUCAAUAUCCCUGUAGGGUGGAAUCCCCGGCAGGUAUUAAGGAAAAACCUCAGGAAACUCACUAACGACGGGCAUAGAAUCAAUAGAGGUAACCUCAGCACUAGAGUCGUGAACAUAUGCCUAAUAGGACAAACACCCCUUCUCGACCAUAAGACGAGCCUUCACAUACGAGAUAGCGUUGCGGGUAGAAUGAGCAGGAUCCCCUCUCCAAUCUAAACGAGGCAUACCCGGUAAAACGAAGGUCAUAAAUUUGGCUUAGCAAUCCAUGAUGGCGUGGUAAGGUGAUAACCAUUCCAUCCCCAAUAUAACAUCAAAGUCGACCAUAUCCAGAAGCAAAAAUAUCAACUCGAGUCUCGAUACCCUCAAUCACCACAAUAAAUGAAUGAUUGACUCAUUAAACUACGAUGGAAUCACCAUUGGUGUAGACACAUAAACAAGGACACUUAGUAAAUCACUAGGCAUAACCAGAUACAUUGCAAAAUAGGAUGAUACAAACGCAUAUGUAGACCCUGGAUCAUAUAUUACUGAAGCAUCUCUAUCACAAACCAGAACAGUACCUAUGAUUACAAUAUCUGAAACAUCAACCUCGUGCCUGGCUAGAAGAGAAUAACAUAAGGGUUGGGCCCAACCACCCUGUACCAUCUCUCUAGAACGGCCUGCAGCUGGCUGGCCUCCACCUUUGGUUGUUUGAGCUCCACCUCUAAAUCAUAUAGCUCCACCUCUACCACCUCUGCUCCCGACUCUAGCUGGCUAGGCGAUCUGUGGAACAUCUGGUGCCUGAAUGAUAGCACGGAAACCCUACUACUAUGAAUGAGUGCCCACUAACCUUGUACAAGCCCUCGGGAUACGACUAUGCCCACCACACUCAUAACAUCUACCUGAGUGCUCCAGCUGAGGAAACUAAGACUGGCCUUGGCAACCUGAAUGACCACCUCGAAAACAUAUGAUUUGGUUGUGCACUGUAUGGCUGCUGAUUAGAAUACUGUAUGCGAGAACCACGACCACUUGGAGCACCAUGAGAAACCUAAAGAUCUGACUGAAAGGGCCUAGAAGGGUGGCCUCUACCAUAUGAAUCUCUACCUCUAGACGAGGUACCACUGAAUCUUCCUAAAUGACGGGGCCUCUUAUCUAACCCAUGACCACCUCCCUGUGUCAAAACCAUCUCAACUCUGCGAGCCACAUUGGCCACCUCCUGAAAAGUGAUCUCAAUCCUAGCCUCUCUAGCCUUCUGAAGACGAAUCGCUAGAUAAGACCGGAAAUCAACCUCCUAAACCUCUCUCUCUUGUUAGGAAGUAUGACAAGAGAAUGUGGAGCUAUGUUGAUGAACUUGGUCUCACAGUGGGUGACCGUAAUGGAACCCUGCUGGAGGCGCUCAAACUUCCUCCGAUAGGCCUUUCUCUGAGUAAUGGGGAGAAACAUUUCUAGAAACAACACAAUAAACUGCUCCCAAGUCAAAGAUGACGACCCGACUAGCCUAGCUAAGAAACAAUCCCUCUACCAAAUCUUGGCGGAUCCAACCAAACAAAAUGUGGCAAAAUCGACCCUAUUGGUCUAAACAAUACCCAUGUUCCUAAGAACAUCGUGGAAACUAUCUAGAUAAUCCUGAAGAUCGUCAGUAGAUGCACCGCAGAAUGUAGAAGUGAAGAGCUUGGUGAACCUAUCCAGCCUCUACAAAGCAUCGCCAGACAUGGCUGCUCCAUUUCCGGUCUGAGCUACUACACCCAGUUGAACUGCUCAAACUAGCGAAACUGCUAGAGUCAGAAUCUAGGAAGCUACCUGCUCUGGAGGGCGAGUAUCCUGAGUUUGAGCCCAUGCUCCAGCCUGAGAGACAACUGGUGCUAGGUAAACCUGCUCGGGUGACACUCUCUAUGAGGCCCACUAAUCGGACCAAAGCAUCCUGAAGAACUGGGGUAGCAAUAACCCCCUCCCCUCGGGGAUCUUAGCUGGGCCCACCGGAAUUGCUGGGGCCAGAACCUCCUCGCAAAAAUCAAUCUGAGGCUCCGCCACCGAGGCUGAGUUCUGCCCCUACCUUGACCUCUAGAAUGGCCUCGGCCUCGCCCUCAACCCCUUGUUGGAGCUGCUACUGGGGGCUCGAGCUCCUAAGCGGUAGAUGAGGAAGUACGUGAUCACGGCAUCUGCGAAAGAACAUAGUAGCAAAUUAAAUUAGCAUUCAAGAAACAAAACCACAUGACAAGAAAGAACAAAUAUGAAUUUUUCCUAACCCCGUAGCCUCUGGGGGAUAAACACAGACAUCUCUGUACCUAUCCCUCAAACUCUACUAAUCUUGUCCGUGAGUUGUGAGACCUAUGUAACCUAGAGCUCUGAUACCAACUAAUCACGACCCAGAUUUCAUACACUUAGGGGUCGUGAUGGCGCCUACUCGUAGAAGCUAGGCAAGCCAUGAAAUUAGAAAUCAUUAACUCUUUUUGUUUUAAAUCUCUUUACCAAGUUUAUUAACAAGAAAUAAACAUGUAAAUAACAAUCAAAUAUGAAAUUUAGCGGAAGACUUAAGUAAAUGUAGAACCAAAAUAUCUCAAAAUCAUCACAUACUUCUAACCAGAACCUAGCUUCACAACAUCCCUGGACUACUAAAAGUACUAAAUACAACAGUUUGAAGAAAAUAUAACUCUAUUUGUCUCGAAUACAUGAGAUAAUAGAACAAAAUAUAAGACUAAGGACACGCUGGGCCUUCAAACACCUACAAGACUACCUCGGUGUCUCGAUUCAUUGAAGGCUGGAUCCCGAGCUACUAUUGCUAACCAAAAGGGGCUUUGAUUUCUUCCCAUAAGUACAGAGUGUAGCAGCAGCAAAACCGACCCUAUUUAUUGGUAAGUGUUUGGCCUAACACUGACGAAGUAGUAACGAGGCUAGAACCAGACUCUAGAUAAUAACAUGUGCAGCUAUAUAACAUAUUGCGGAUAAAUUAAUUGGAAAUAAAAGUUUAAAAGCGAGGGGGUACAUGCUUCGUGUAAAUGUAUCCACCUAAUAGAAACCAAACAAAUAUACGAAAGAACAUUACAGUAUCCACAACAAUGUAAGAAUACUAUUGUUGUAGCGUGCAACCCGAUCCUUUUGUCAUUAAACAAUGUUGUGGCGUGAAACCCGAUCCAAAUAUAUACAUAGAUAGAUGUUGUGGAGUGCAACCCGAUGAAAUAUAAUAAUUGUUGCUGCGUGCAACCCGAUCCAAUAUAAUAUCAAUUGCGGUGUGUAACCCGAUCCAUAUAUAUAUUUAUAUCAAUAAAAAUGUUGCGACGCGCAACUCAUUCCAAAUUUAUAGCUUACACUGAUUAUAACACUCCUUGCAAGGGAUCAAUAUAAACCGUACUAUCCCAGCAAGGGAACUCACCAGUACAAGUAUAUACGUCCUGAAAAGGGAAAAUCGGCUAUAACCAAUCUCAACUCAACUCCUAAUCAUAUCAAUUAUCACUAUUUAUAAAUCGGAGGUAACUUCCACAAAAAUAAACUAAGCCUUUGCUCAAUGCUACGGAUUUACUCACAUUGCAACCAUAGAAUCAUUCAAGAAUACAACAAGUAUCAAUUUAAGACUCACGGUCAUACUCGACACUAACGUAUAGAUACUCGUCAACAUGCCUAUACGUUGUACUCAACAAGAAACAAGUAGCAAAUAUGACUCAACUCCCAAUCCCUCAAGCAAAGGUUAGACCAAAUAUUUACCUCAAACUUCCACAGCCAAAUCAAUCCUCAAUUACCAUUUUUCUCUCGAAUUGGGCUCCAAAUCAAUUGUAUCUAUACAUAAAUGACUUCAUAACAUCAAUAAAUGCUUAACAAUUCAAAUCCAAUGCGUAAUUGUAAAUUUACAAUCAUUCUUCCAAAAACCACUAAAAUUGAUGCUUGGUCAAAAUACAAGGUUCGGACCAAAAUCAAUUUACCCAUUCACCCACGAGCCUAAAUAUAUAAUUAUUUUAAGAAUUCAACCGCAAAAUAAGGUCUAAAUCACAAUUAAUCAAAAAGUCCUAACUCUACCCAAAUCCCUAAUUUUCUACCCUUAAUCACAUAUUUUAGGCCUAUCAAUCUAAUAGAUGUUGAUGAAAAUGCAAGAAAAUAAGUUAAAGGUUACUUACCCAAGAGAUUAUGGUGAAGAAAUACUUCACGUAUCGCCUAAGAGCUUUGGAGAAGAAGAGGUUUUGUGAAAUUUUGAGAAAUUCCGUAAGUGUUCUGUUUUUGGUUUUAAUAAUUCACUAGGAAAUUUUACUCUACGAGAUCAGGACUGACCCCUCGCAUUCACGUCCAACCGGUCCCGUUCGCGUAAGGUAACUACCCCUCCCCUGUGCAUGUUGGCCUUCGCAUUUGCAUGGCCAGUAACGCGUUUGUGAAGGCAUAGCCCCCCGCUGGCCCGUGUUCGCGAACUUGUCUACACGUUCAAGUAUUAGGAAAUUCCUUCUGGAACAAAUUACACAUCGCGUUCGCGAAUGCCAUCUCGCGAACACGAAGAAGGAAAUACCAUAACACCUGAACAACUUUUUCUGCAAUUUUUCAUAAGUUCCAAAACCUCCAGAAACACAUCCAAAAUACACCCGAGCCGUCGGGGCUCCUAACGAGACAUAUGUACUAACUCAAGAAGAUCAUACAAACUUAUCUGUGUGAUCAAAUCGCCAAAUAACUAUUAAAACAAUAAAUCAAAACUCAAAAUCAAGAAUUUUUCUCAAACCUCUUCAAGUUUCAAAUUUAGCAAUUCUAGCCCGAAUCACGUCAAACGGCGUUUGUUUUUAACCAAAUUUACAGUAAUGACGAAACCAAAAUACGGGCCCGAUACCAUUGCUUUCUAAUCAAAAUUCAUUUCAAUUUUCCUAAAAUAAUUUCUGAAAACAACUUUUCUUAAAAAUUCAUUUCAAGGCUUGGGACCUCGAAAUUCGAUUAUGAGCAUAGCCCAAGUCCCAUAUUUUCCUACGGACCCUUCGAGACUAUCGGAUCACGGGUCCGGGUAUGUUUUCACAAAAUGUUAACCGAAGUAAAAUUUACUCAUUUUAUAAUCAAAACUUAGCAUUUUUCACAGAUUUUCAUAUUUAAGGUUUCCGAUUAUGUGCCUGGACUGUGCACGAAAAUUGAGCUUAUGAAUAAUGAGGUUUUCAAGGCCCCGGAGACAUAUAAUUCAAUUAAUAGUGGGUGAUGACCUUUUGGGUCGUCACAAAAUUAAAGCUAGAGUGGCAACGCGACUCGAAAACUAGACCCCAAAUAGUAAUACUGCAAUAUAACCAAGGGCACGACAUAAAUGCCACUAUUGCCAUCCAAGUGAGCCUUCGGGCCACAUACCUAUUAGGUCACUAUGACCCGAGGCAAAAAAGGACAUCAUCAUCCGUCCAUGCUGGAAAGAAAGAACAUAAGGGUCAAUUAAAGCUCGAGUCGCAACGUGACUCUUAGACUAGACCCGAAAUAUUUAAACUACAAUAUGCCAAAGGGCACGACAUAAAUUCCACUGUCGCCAACCGAGUGAGACUAUGGGCCACGCGCCUAUAAGUUCAGUACAACCCGAAGCACAAAAAGGCCAUCAUCGUCCACCCAUGUGGGCAGGAAAGAACUUGAGGGUCGAUUAAAGCUUGAAUAGCAAUGCGACUCGGUGGUUGGACCCAAAAUAGUUGAAACGAAAAAUGCCGAAAAAUAAAAAAUCAAAAAAAUCACUAUCUGCCCAUAGGGAACAAAAGAUUGAAGUUUGGGCAAGCUCGAGUCAAGGCCUAGCUAACUCGGAGACUAAGCCUAAAUAUCUAGGCAAAACAUGGAGUCCCCAAUGCCUACUCAUGUCAAGGAUCAUACUUAAAAGUCUCCGAGCCUUCCUGAUUAAUUUCGGACUUACGAGGAUACCUCCAAACACAAAAACUAGCCUGCCUAGUCAAAAGGAGUACAUAAAGAGAUGCUAAAGAAAAAAAGCUUCAAGUUUUCUCUUAUCUUACAUAUGCAAAAAAAUCACACUCUUCAUCUACAAACAUUCUCUCCAAGUAUCAAGUAUAAAAUGGAAAAUGGCGAAAUCUACACUCCACUCCAAAGGGCUACAAUUUACCAAAUUCACCCUCCACCACAUCAUCAAGAAGUGAUUGAGCAUCACACUUAUCUGCCCUUGCUCGAGCGAAUUCCUUCGAGAGAACGAAGCCCUUUGCACCGAUCUUAUCGAGUACCUCUCUUCAGGUUCUGCAACGAACAUAUUCCUCGAUCAUGUUCUCCCGAUCGAGUGCUCACUUCAGCUUGGCUUGGGCAUCGGCAGUGUCAUUCAUAUGAAUCGCCAUCUCCUAAUAAGGCUUGGUUUGGCUUAGUACCACUUCAGCCCGGGCAUCAAUUAUCUCAGCCCUAAUAUUUGAGAGAUUAGAUUCAAGUUUCCCAAUCAUAUCAGCUUAAACUUUGGCAUUGUUAGGAUCUAAGAGGAGUUGGGCAUCGAAGGCAGGGACCUUGGCGAGGCGCCUGUCUCCUCUAAUGCAUGAGUUUGCUCUUGAGCCCUUAUCUCACCACAAGCAGUUCUGACAGGGUCGAUGUUGCCGUUGAGGUACUCCAAGGCUCCGUCUUUGUUUGUAGCUAAUAUAACAAAAAUGGGUUAACCUUAAGGUCCAAAGGGAGUGAAGCCCGAGCUAUAAGAAGUUACCUAAUCCAGUAAAUAGCUCUCAUAAUCCAAGCUCCAGUGUGCCCCAUAUCUCCAAUACACCAACUCAACCUCCUUCUCCUUGCCAAGGAGCCUAAGGGACUCUUCGUCGUCUAGAAUUUUCCGAAGCCUGGCCCCUUGACAGAGUAGCUCAGUCAUAAGGCUAUCACGGACCUGGAUAAGAAAUAAAAUUAGAAGGACGCGGAAUAAAGGAAAACCGAUCCUAACCAUACCACGAAGUAUAGCCGACGGACAUCCUUGAAGUCAAAGCACAAUCUUGUUGAUCCUGCCUCUUCGGGCAUAGGAGAACCCACCUCUGGCAAAGCAUAUUCACUCAGAGGAAUCGGAGCUAGAGAAUUAGAUACUCCAGGAACAACGAACGACCUAUGCCUACUCCGCGAAGAAGCAGGAUCAUUCGGCACCACUAAAAUCUCCAUCACACUAUGGGUGCCAAUCCCGUUUAUUGCCAUUGUCCCUCGGCUCGGAGGCCGGCGCCUCUUUCUUCCCUUCGAAAGAGCACUGUCUCAUCCGAAAAACCGACUGAUACCUGCAAAUGGCAAAGCCAGUACAAAAUAAAGGAGGGAAAUUUUACCUCAAAUAUAUGAAGUCCAAGGCAAAGGCAGCGUGCACGCAUGCCUUGGUAUUUCGCUCCCAUCUGGCACGGAAUACAGCUCGCCACCGACGCUCAUCACACAUAAAAUGAGUUGCCAGCCUCCAAACCCAUUCGGGCAGGUCAAGGACUUCGCCUGCCAUCCAUGAGUUGUUGCAACAAGGGACAAAACACUAUUACUCAAUUGAUUUUCGCUAUAGGCAAAAUUUGAAAAAUCAUCAGAUGCUCCGCUCACAUGCAUAAUUCCACCCUUCAGGAAAUAGCAAAAGCUCCACAGGGAUAACGUCGACCGUCUGAACCCGAAUAAACCAGCUGGCCCACUCUCGAUCCUCGUCUUCUUCUUCAUGGACAAAAAAGGGUAUGGAUGAAUGGCACCGCAGGGUUAGCAGGCCUUAAUGAAGAAAGAGCCGUUAUAGCCUGACGAGGCGGCUAAGCAUGAAUUCAAGCGCAUCCUUUUAUGCAAAGAAUCUCAUCAUCAGCACAAAUUACCAAAACGACGAACAUAUCUGCACCAAAGUAAUAUGAUACUUCAAGCAAAAAUCAAGCACAACGCUAUUAGGGGGGCCAAAUGCAAGGAUAUACGUAUACGCUCAAGAAUCCAUCAGUGGAGUCCGUAAUACCCUCAUCUGGGAGAGCUCCUACAGUGCUAUCCCUUCGCUCCAUCCAUAGUGUCUCCUCACCAUCUGCAUAUGUUCCUCUCUUAUCAAAGACACGGUCUUCAGAGCGAAAUCCCGUGGUUCCUGAGCGUCGAAAGCAGCAGUUCCCACUCCCUGUCAGGCUGACCCCGAAAUGGUUGUCAUGGCUAUGGUAAAACUAGAAGAUCAGAGAAAGGACGUACGCCAAUACUUUUGCGCCUUAAGAAAUCAACAACCCUAUGCCAAAAAAGAAGGGAAACUAUCUAAAAUAGUGAGGUCUUGCGAAGAAGCCGAAGCCGGCCCACACAUGUGCGAGAAGCAGCAACGACUUACCUACCCGGAGUGAACCCCCGGAAGCCCACAGCCUCAAUAUAAAUCGAUGGGGUGAUACCCGAUCCUGGAAGUAUCCUUCGAUAGGAAGCCAUGGUUCAAGGAGUCAGUCGUAUUAUCUCUAAUUUCCAGGCAUCAUUCUACCUUAUGGAUUCCCGCCAAAAAGUAAUUGGGCUUCGGUAAUCUUUCAACGCCAUCACUCGACUCAAGACAAUAUUCAGUCUUAUGAUUUCUUUUUUCUUAAAAGAGAAAUAAGCACGCGAAGCUCCGAUCACAAGGGCUCUACGAAGGCCCGAGGCAGCGCCUGAACAUAGCAACUCCUCUAUCUUACACACAUUAAAAAUCUACUUGCAUCGAGAUCAAAAUGGACCCCCAGGUACCCAAAGCUGACCUUGAUUCAGGAUAACAUUCUCGAGAGCCCCGAAACUCGACAAAUAAUCUCCAUGCAACUCGGACGGCCCGACAGUCCGAGCCUAUUAGAUCAACUUAGGUAUAGACUAAGGUACAAUGAUGGGCUCGAAUAAAAGACAUGCCGAUCAGCAGAGGAUCAAAAAGAAUGAUCUCACCCGAGACAAAAAUUAGUGGUCAUUAAUAAAGGAAGACAUUUAAAAAACAUGGAAAGGCAUGAGAGCAUACAAAAAUAAGGCAAGGAUUGAAAGUAGAAGUCAUAUAGAGUAUAUUCAUAUUCAUAAAAAUUCGUGUACAACAGCCCUCGUAGGGUUAUUACAUACAAUUACAAAAGCCCGCAGAGGAUCUCUACGCAUAAAGGAAACAACAAAGGGAUGCACAUUCGAAGUAAAAGAUAGAAGACUUGUCCACCUUCGAAGGUCCACAACAGGUGCAUGCAGACGCAUAUCCUCAGAAGUUCCAUCCCAUCCUUCCACACUGAUAUCGCCAAGGGAUAAGGCGAGUAGCAGGAAGGAAUGAAAAAAUGUCGUAGCUCUCGAAGCAAGAGGACCCUCGUUGGCCAAAAGAAAUUCGGAGAGACAGCAGACCGAACAAGCUUCGGUCCCCCCUUGCACGGAAACUUAGAAUCCACUUCUUAGAACGUCUAGCCGUUAAAGCCCCAAACUCAAGGUAGAGCACCACAUCGAGCCGGGGUAUGAAGGUGGGCGGCGGUGCACAUUCCGAGCCCCUUUUUGAGCAGUGGCAUGUAAUUUGAAGAGCUUUCUGCGAACAAGGAAAGAUGGCCUUCAUAUGUUAUCAUCUCGAGCCAACAGUGGCAGUCACGGUAAACAUGUCAAUGACCACAGCAGAAAUGAGGCGGCACAAUCAUGCUCGACAAAGAAAAGCCCUGGCAAAAGGCCACAACACAAUCUAAGGAAGUUUCGCCAAACGGUCUUGUGGCUCUGAGCCCCAAGCACGAUCUGCAAGAGUAAAGGAAGAUGAUAAUAAGAGAUGGGCAAAUGAACCAACGAAAGCAUUGGGAUAUGAAAAAAAAUGCCAAGGCAUCCCCAUUUAUAGGGGGUAACGACACGGUCAUCGCCUCGAUGGAAGAUUAACUGGCGGGCGUGGUUAAUGCAUACUUGAAAAACCAAACCGACGACAGUACCUUCAGCAUGGAGAGCGAGAAUCGGGAGUGCAUUAAAUGAAGUGAAAAUACACAAGCCUGUGGACGCCUCGGUUACCACAAAACUCAUUCCAUGAGUCGCAUUAUUGGUAUGACAUAUCCGUAAGAAGCUGGAGGAGUCAAGUGUCAGAAUCAUAUCCCAUCACUUCAUUCUGGGAAAUGCCGAUACUAUCUGUACGCAGCGAAAUUAGAGGACUUGAUUUCUCAUAGUUAUUUCAAAAGAACGCUUCGAGACAGCAAGGACGGAAGAAACGAAUGAGUUCUCGACCUUGGGGCUCGUCAAGGCCUGACUCAUAGAAGAUGGAGAUCAAAACAAGGACAGAAGGGGAAGCUCCCAAGGCACACAAUUAAGUCUGACAGGGUCGGCCUAUCCACAGCCUAUGUUGAGGCAUCGCUUCAAGUCGUCCCAUCUUCAUACUUUAUAAUUAAUGCUCGUGUACUAGUAGUCGAGUUCCCCUCUUAUAUAAAGGGAACUCGAACUAUCUUGUAGAGGACUAAUGCUGCUCCAUUUCUCCACAAGUGCAAUAAUAUCUCUCUCUUCUUUCUAAGUUCUCUCGUCCUCAUUGGCCUGAGGCCAUUUUAAUGUUUAUUUUGUUGCUGCUAAGCUAAAAUAGGUUUUCUCAUGUCUAGAUGUAACCAGCUGUAUGUUUAAGUCAAAACCUAUUUAGGUGUAGUGUUUACUAAUUUUAAUCUUUUUUGUGACAUUGUUGACACUGUGAAGCUAAUAUCUAAUUGUUAAGUUAUCUUCCAUAUAGGAGGACCUAAUCAUUCUAGUUAUAGGUUAGGUGAUAAUUUUUGAAAAUUGAGUAUGAUUAUUUCACAUUUAGAUUCUAAUUAAGACUAACCGCCCUAUCUGCCUUAGCUAAACUUGUUUUGGUAUAAUACCUUUGUCUAGUACUCCCUCCCCUCAUGACAUGACUAGAUUAGUUCUAUAACAUGUAUAGCCCCCUUCUCUGUAUAAUAUUACAACCUCACUUAAGGUUUCUAUAUAUAAUUAACUAAAUAUUGCAUAUUUUCCUGUUUGGCUUCUGCAUUCCAUGCUCUUGUAUUGAAGAUAUACCCAAUUAUCUCUUUUCUACUAUUCUGAAAUUGACUCUAAUUUUCAAACCUAUGAAUAGUUUUCUAUUACUGUUGAUUGAACACAAUUAUUUAUUUAAGGUUAAUACUCCUAUGAAUGUGAUGUUGUUAAGCACCUUAGGGAUUCCAUGUUCAAAUGUAAGAACUUGUAGUUAUGUUGAGAGUUUAAUCAUAUUUCUAAUAUCUCUGAUAACUUCUGUAAAAGUGGUUAGCUAUAGCUGUUGUGUCUGAUGCUUUAUGGAUGCCCAUUAAAAGUUCCAAGUGGUGCUAUUAAUUCAUGGAUGUGCUAGUAGCAAUCUAAUCAAUUUAUAACUAGUCUGCCAGGGCAUAAAUGUAUGUAUUUCUUGUGCAGCUGCAUAUCUGAAAUAUUAAGUUUUUUUAAUUUCUCUUCGAAUGUGUUUUUCCCUAAUGGUUAAGCCAUUAAUAGAAUGUUAUGAUAUUUUUGCUUUAUGUCUGGCCUUUAGAUUUACUUGAUAUGUAUAUUGUUCAUUUGGUACCAAACAUACACUAUGUGCCCUUAUGUUAUUAUGUUAGAAUGAAAAUUUUAUUUUUGUGAUAAGUGAUACCAUAGAAUUUAGUUUAUAUUUAAAGGGUCUUAUUGACACUUAAACCCAUAGAAAAAAAUAAUUCGUUGGUGGUUGAGGGUAUUUGGGAGUGAAGUUUGACUCUAGGUUGGGUUGCUCUGCUGGAUACAAGUAAAUAACAUUAGUUUCAAGUUGGAAGAUCUAUAGCACUGAUAUACCUUCAUGUUUUUAUCACAGAGACCGAUCUCGGCCCAAUCGGCUAAGCCGUCUUAUUAGAAACAUCCAAUCACAACAACACCAUGUGCACGGCAUGACAUCCAAUCUCAGCCAGAUUAGCUAAGUCGUCUUACCAUAAUGUCGUGUGGGUCGACAUCACAUUCCGCUAGCAAUAAUCACAUCCCAAUUAUGGGAAUAAUCUCAUCACAUCAAUCUCAUCCCAAUUAAGGAGAAUAAUUUUAUCACAUCAGUAUAGGAUAUACCCCUCAAUCACACCUACAUUGGCAUAUGUAGUUUUGGGGCUAUGUAAUUUCAACAUACCCUUCCUCGGGGCUUAUACUCCCGAAAAUAUGUUUGUUUUGCAUAUAAAGGAACAGAAAUAUAAAUAUAUUCAUCUCAUAACUUUUCACACCAUGUAUAGCACUAUUAGUACUUUCAACCACUCAUAGCAUCAUCAUUCAUCAGCUCUCUUGGCCAUACAUAUGAUUAUUCAUUCAUGGCACAGUGUUCGUACCUCAUAUUCCACACGUUCAUUUAUUUACUUUCCAGGUUCAUUAUCAUAAAUAACAACGUACAUAAUAUUUUUGAUAUCAUAUAUCUGAGUUCAUUAGCAAUGACGACUUUAAACACAAUGGACUUCUUUCUAUAGAAAUGGAGAAAAAAUGAUAGGCAAUCAAAGCACAAGUUAAAAAUCAUAAACGACUGACACGCAAUUUAUUCUUUUCAUACUCUUCUCCAAGAGGGCAAUACUAAAUUUUGGCUUAUGAAUAUGUAAGAACUCAAAACACAUUGGAAGUAUUUAUAAAGCUUAGCAUGGUGAUUUAUGAUUGAAACAAUGGUUCGAAUCAUAGAUGUUACAAAACAACCACAUUUGAACAUGACUUUGGUGCAUAAGCUUCUAGGAAAAUCCAUUUUCAGAGUCGUUUGGAACAGUUUAAUUAAGACUCAUUUCAUAAUCUUUCAUACAUUAUUCCAAUUCAUUGGCACUAUUGACCCCAAGCAUAACUUUUAUUCUUCGCACGAUGGCCACAUUCUAGAUCUCAUGUUCACUUCUUUCACUUUCAAGAGCCCUCAUAGAUUAUCGACAACAAGAGCAUUUGGGAUCAAGACUUUGAAUUUAGAUAUAAGCAAUAUGGUCUUAAACAUAUUGAAUUUUCUUUCCAUGUUAAGCACAAUAGAUUUUCAUUUGAAACAUGAAUUGAAGUCAUAACAUUUUAAUGCAUAAAAUACUUGAAAGACAUUCUCAAAGAGGUCAUAAUAGGAUAGGAACAAUUAAAACACGUUUUGAGUAUAUACAUCUUUUGACACAGUGCCUAACUGGGAUAUUCCACUCUACUAGGAAUAACUCAGAAUAUGAAAAUUCGGAAUCUGGCCAACCAUAUUGAAACUUAUAAGAACAUAAUGGAAUUUGAUUAUAAAAGAGUCGUUUAGCCAACAUAUCUUGUUUGAGCUUUCCAUUAAGUUACUACAAUGUCCGAACACUUCUAGCAAUAUUAUUCUAUAGGAACAUAGCGAAAAUCGGAUAAUACUUAGAAGUAUUCUCAUGGUAUAACUAUCUUGGAAAUUUUGUCAAACACAUACUAUGCAAUAUUGACUACCAAGAUCUACACUCUCUUCCUCCCUCAACCAAUUUCAACAAGAAAGUACCCAAAAUAGUUCAAUAUUCCUAAAUAAUACCACCUAUGUCACAUGUAAGGCCUAUCUCCAACACCAUAACCUUCUAAAACCCAUAACAAUUACAUGGUGGUUUUAGAACAAGGUCUUACCUGGAUAGAUGAUAACCUAAUGAGUGAUUUCCUUGAAUAUUCAAGAUUGGUCAUGGAUAGAUGAUUAGAAUGACUAGGUCUUCUCCCUCUCUCGCUCUAACAUAUUAUCACUUCUCUAAAACAUCAGAUAAUUGCAUCAAAAUAAGCCCCAAAGGCUAUUCAUGAAAUGGGAUCGAGUUAUAUAAGUGGAAAAUGAACUCUACGAACAUAACUCUACGAUCACAUAGUGGACUGAAGAAUAGAUUUGCGGCCCUCAAAAUGGACCACAAAAGUGAUACCAAAAAGAGGAUUGGCCUAGACCAGUCUGUGCUCCAUAGACCAGUUCCUUGACCGUGAAAUGGACCACGAAGUUACCCUCCAACUUUCUUUAUGCUAACUUAGUGAUGGAAGUGCAGACUACAAAAUAGAUAUGCAGUCGCACAACGGACCUCUUAAACGAUCUUUAAAAUUCAAUAAAAUUUCUGCUCAAUGCUGCAAAAAUUUUAUGCGAUCACAUAACUACGAUCUUCGUACUGAUUUGUCUACCUCGGCACCAGAAAAUCUUAAUUUCCUUGGUAAUAUUUUACAGGGCCUUAUACUUGAGUCCCAUGGGAACUUUGAAGUGGUG
This 20682-nucleotide long non-coding RNA is filed under the name Nicotiana benthamiana. RNAcentral's name for it is "long non-coding RNA (NBEN_LNC018453)". Lineage: Eukaryota; Viridiplantae; Streptophyta; Magnoliopsida; Solanales; Solanaceae. The record is from RNAcentral.